RNAcentral lists this ribosomal RNA (253 nucleotides) under uncultured bacterium. Its description in RNAcentral is "partial 16S ribosomal RNA". It matches the Rfam family "Bacterial small subunit ribosomal RNA", at positions 524 to 776 of the family's 1533-position model. The record is from RNAcentral.
UACGGGGGGAGCAAGCGUUGUUCGGAUUUAUUGGGCGUAAAGAGCUCGUAGGCGGUUUGUCGCGUCUGCUGUGAAAACUCGGGGCUUAACCCCGGGCCUGCAGUGGGUACGGGCAGACUAGAGUGCGGUAGGGGAGACUGGAAUUCCUGGUGUAGCGGUGAAAUGCGCAGAUAUCAGGAGGAACACCGGUGGCGAAGGCGGGUCUCUGGGCCGUAACUGACGCUGAGGAGCGAAAGCAUGGGGAGCGAACGGG